GAUGAAGAACGCAGUGAAAUGCGAUAAUUAAUGUGAAUUGCAGAAUUCCGUGAAUCAUCGAGUCUUUGAACGCACAUUGCGCCUCAUGGCAUUCCGUGAGGCAUGCCCAUCUCAGCGUUAGAAAAUAUUCUCAAAUUUUAGUUUUGUGCUAAAAUUUGGAUCAUGUCAAAGAAGCUAUUACUAUUAUUGUGAUCGCUCUUUGGAAAUUGAUAGGUCUUUGAGUUGCUACUCAUAGAACGUGAUGAAUCUUUCUUCGUUCUAUUGUAAUUCACUCUGGUAGUCCUAAAACUUGUAUGCCUGUGGCAUAUCUUGUAAUUUGACCUGAGAUUGGGUAGGGAUACCCGCUGAACUUAAGCAUAUCAAAAGCGGAGGA
This 373-nucleotide unclassified non-coding RNA is filed under the name soil metagenome. RNAcentral describes it as "partial contains internal transcribed spacer 2 and large subunit ribosomal RNA". The stretch from base 1 to 120 matches the Rfam family "5.8S ribosomal RNA", at positions 35 to 154 of the family's 154-position model. The record is from RNAcentral.